GGAACAAGCACAAUAAACGAGUGUUUCACAAAGAUUUGAAAGCUCUUAAGAAGGCAAAUAUAUCAAUGAGAAAUAACAAAACCCGGAAGAACCCUUUUUGCCGUUGGAAGCGUGGGUAAUGGUGGUUCUUCCGAUGUGGAUCGUGUUGGAUUUAAUGUGAGCUUUGAAUGCUGAGUGGGGUGAGUAGUUGAGCACGAAAUCAGAUGGGAAAGCUUGAAUGCACUUGAUUUCUCCUCUUGAAAGCACUAACUCCCUUGAACCUCUUUCACUUUCUUCUCUGUUGAAUGAUCUUGUGUUAGGUUGGUGAGAAGUUGUUGGAAGGCACCUAAAAGCUCUCUUUUAUAGCCCAAAAAGCAAUAGAUCCGUUAGACACAAAAAUAUAAACGUUUGAAAUUCAAACAAACCUGCAAAAGUGUGUCAGUCGUGUCCCAGGCGCUCCGGAGACGUCUCCGCUUGAACGCGAGAUGUCUCGGCUGUAUAAAAUUUCUUUUGACGUUGUUUGGAGUCGACUCGGCGCUUUACGGGGACAUCUCUGAAGAAGAGCAGCUUGAAUGCUUGUUUUUCUGUUUUUCUGAGAGAGUCGGCUCGGUACUUUACGGGGACGUCUCGGGAUGUUUGCGCUUUUUG
RNAcentral lists this long non-coding RNA (627 nucleotides) under Phoenix dactylifera (date palm). RNAcentral's name for it is "long non-coding RNA (PDAC_LNC010848)". The record is from RNAcentral. Lineage: Eukaryota; Viridiplantae; Streptophyta; Magnoliopsida; Arecales; Arecaceae.